This 1636-nucleotide long non-coding RNA is filed under the name Linum usitatissimum (flax). RNAcentral's name for it is "long non-coding RNA (LUSI_LNC007774)". The record is from RNAcentral. Lineage: Eukaryota; Viridiplantae; Streptophyta; Magnoliopsida; Malpighiales; Linaceae.
GCGCUCAUAAAACCUAGUCCAUACAAAAUGUCCGGUAGGCUGUAACCACGUUGUAAUAACCAAAUUUUGUUCGAAUUCUCAAAUUAGGCAUUUCAUGACUCCUUCUUUUCAUCGAAUUUUUGCCCCGUUUCAGACUUGAUUUUAGGCCCGAUGUUGGGCCUAAUUACGGGCCUGUUACUAUUAUUAAUUAAGAAAUUAUCACCUCUUAUUUUUUUGUUAGAAACGUCGCAAGCCCUCUUAUUUUUUUGUUAGAAACGUCGCAAGCUUUGGUUGGUUAAAAAGGAGGUGACAACCCUAUUCUGAAUUUAAAUAGACAACAAAAGAGAAAAUGGGAGGAGGAGGAGAUUUUCAGAUUUAAUUUUUCCCCAACCAUACCCAAAAAAAAUCUCAAAACAAAUCAGCCACAAAAAUCCCAAAAGUUAUUACAAUAUAUUACAAAAAAUACUAAAACUUAUGUCAUCAUCCACUUUGUCGUCACUUGCAAAGACCGCCACCUGAAACACGACAAAAAAGAAGUUUCGGAUUAAAGGUAAUCAUUCAAACAUUCCUAUUCAAAAGCAUUCACACAACAUUCAUGCAUACACAUUGUUGUGAUUAUACCCCCUAAACUACCUUCGAAUCUAAUGUUUAUUGUGACUAAUCAAGUGAACGUUUUAUUUGAGUAAACAACCAACAAAUCAAUAAAAUAAGUUUCAAAAAUUAACUAAAGUUGUUGGAAAAUAUGCUAGCAAAGAAACCUAUAACCAUCUUUCAUUAAGGAUCCAAAAAGCUAUGAAACUCAUAAUAUAAUCGAAUUAAAAUACAAAUUAUUUGACUAAACAAGGUUGCUGAAUUUUUUUUAAACAUUAGAAAAAACCAAGGUUUUUUAACACAUAACUUUGUUAAAACACUUAGACUACUACUACAAUCUCAGUAACAAAACUAAUCAAGUUUCCAAACGUAGACUAGACUGAAUUUUUUCCAAACGUGAUUUCUUUUUACCUUUAUUUCUCCGUCGCUGCCACCAGUUUUCUCCCUUAACAAAGAAAUCAACAACAUAACAAAUUAAAUCCACAAAAUAAAAUAAAAAGAAUAUUUCAAUCCCUAGAUCUACAAAUCGGACCUUGCAUGUCAGCGAAGGACUCACCGGAACCUCCUCCCUUGACAUACAAGUUUGGAUCUGGACGAAAUCAGAAAAAAAACAAAAAAGAGAGGUUCCAAAGAUGUCUUUUACUUUUUUUCUCUUUCUUUUCGUUGAUGAUGGUCGAGAAAGAAGAGGUGAAGCAGAGGCGUUGGCGGCCGCUGUCGUCGUUAAAAAGCAGAGGAAGAUAGAGGCGGCGGAGGCAAUGGCUGAGAGGAAAAGAGGAAGAAAAGAGAAGGAAAAAAGAAGAGAAAGUGAGGGAAAGAAGAAAAAGAAAAGAAGGAAAGGGAGGCGGCGGCGGCCGCCGUCGUUAAAAGAGGAAAAAAAGAGGCGGCCAGAAGAGGAAAGGAAAGAGAAGAAAAGAAGAAAAAGAGGGAAAAAGUAAGAGCCGUGAUGACGAGACGGCAGGGACGGCCGGGAGAAGAGAGGAGGGGGAGAGUUAGAGAGAGGGAGGAAGUUUUAAAGAGAGGGUAGAGAGUUUAGGGAAGAGGAAAAGAAGAGAUAGUGGAAAUGUGU